Non-coding RNA from Chanos chanos (milkfish), 516 nucleotides. NCBI's taxonomy places the organism in Eukaryota, Metazoa, Chordata, Actinopteri, Gonorynchiformes, Chanidae. The record is from the annotation of a RefSeq genome assembly.
AUGGAUGACACAAAUUUUGAUCUGACUGUGUCGAAAAUUAAUACUACAGACGUUGCACUGUAUUUUUGCGGCAUACAGUGGUACAACAAUUUUCUGUUUGGAGAGGGAACUUUUCUCAUAUUGAAUGAUACCUCUCCAGUUCAAGCUACAAAACCACUUGAAUUGCAUCAAAUUCAUACAGGCACAAGUGUGACUUUGCAGUGCAGUAUCACUGCCAAGAGCUGUGCAGGAGAACACAGUGUCUAUUGGUUAAGACAGGAUUCAGGAGAAUCCCAUCCAGGAAUCAUUUACACCCAUGGAGACAGGAGUGAUCAGUGUGAGAAGAGAUCUGAGGCUGGUUCUCCUACACAGAGCUGUGUCUAUCACCUCCCCAAGAGGAACCUCAGUCUCUCUGAUGCUGGAACUUAUUACUGUGCUGUGGCCAUGUGUGGAGAGAUACUGUUUGGCAGUGGAACCAGAUUAGACAUUUAUGGUAACUUGUAUUACUCUACACAGUACACCUAUUGUACCCUGUAA